RNAcentral lists this ribosomal RNA (346 nucleotides) under uncultured eukaryote. RNAcentral's name for it is "SSU rRNA". It matches the Rfam family "Eukaryotic small subunit ribosomal RNA", at positions 594 to 945 of the family's 1831-position model. The record is from RNAcentral.
AUAGCGUAUAUUAAAGUUGUUGCAGUUAAAAAGCUCGUAGUUGAACUUCAGACCUGGCCGGACGGUCUGCCUAACGGUAUGUACUGUCUGGCUGAGCCUUACCUCUUGGUGAGCCGGCAUGCCCUUCACUGGGUGUGUCGGGGAACCAGGACUUUUACCUUGAGAAAAUUAGAGUGUUCAAAGCAGGCUUACGCCGGAAUACAUUAGCAUGGAAUAAUAGAAUAGGACGUGCGGUUCUAUUUUGUUGGUUUCUAGAGUCGCCGUAAUGAUUAAUAGGGAUAGUUGGGGGCAUUUGUAUUGCGUUGCUAGAGGUGAAAUUCUUGGAUUUACGCAAGACAAACUAUUG